Molecule: ribosomal RNA, 274 nt
Filed under: uncultured bacterium
Lineage: Bacteria
Description: partial 16S ribosomal RNA
Rfam family: Bacterial small subunit ribosomal RNA
Source: RNAcentral
AUACGUAGGUGGCAAGCGUUGUCCGGAUUUACUGGGUGUAAAGGGCAUGUAGGCGGGGAUAUAAGUCAGAUGUGAAAUCCUGUGGCUCAACCACAGAACUGCAUCUGAAACUAUAUCUCUUGAGUACUGGAGAGGAGAGCGGAAUUCCUAGUGUAGCGGUGAAAUGCGUAGAUAUUAGGAGGAACACCAGUGGCGAAGGCGACUUUCUGGACCAAUACUGACGCUGAGGCGCGAAAGCGUGGGUAGCAAACGGGAUUAGAAACCCUAGUAGUCC